GUCGAACGGUAGCACAGAGGAGCUUGCUCCUUGGGUGACGAGUGGCGGACGGGUGAGUAAUGUCUGGGAAACUGCCCGAUGGAGGGGGAUAACUACUGGAAACGGUAGCUAAUACCGCAUAACGUCGCAAGACCAAAGAGGGGGACCUUCGGGCCUCUUGCCAUCGGAUGUGCCCAGAUGGGAUUAGCUAGUAGGUGGGGUAACGGCUCACCUAGGCGACGAUCCCUAGCUGGUCUGAGAGGAUGACCAGCCACACUGGAACUGAGACACGGUCCAGACUCCUACGGGAGGCAGCAGUGGGGAAUAUUGCACAAUGGGCGCAAGCCUGAUGCAGCCAUGCCGCGUGUAUGAAGAAGGCCUUCGGGUUGUAAAGUACUUUCAGCGAGGAGGAAGGCAUUAAGGUUAAUAACCUUGGUGAUUGACGUUACUCGCAGAAGAAGCACCGGCUAACUCCGUGCCAGCAGCCGCGGUAAUACGGAGGGUGCAAGCGUUAAUCGGAAUUACUGGGCGUAAAGCGCACGCAGGCGGUCUGUCAAGUCGGAUGUGAAAUCCCCGGGCUCAACCUGGGAACUGCAUCCGAAACUGGCAGGCUAGAGUCUUGUAGAGGGGGGUAGAAUUCCAGGUGUAGCGGUGAAAUGCGUAGAGAUCUGG
Molecule: ribosomal RNA, 651 nt
Filed under: uncultured Pseudomonadota bacterium
Lineage: Bacteria; Pseudomonadati; Pseudomonadota
Description: bacterial SSU rRNA
Rfam family: Bacterial small subunit ribosomal RNA
Source: RNAcentral